UACGGAGGGGGCUAGCGUUGUUCGGAAUUACUGGGCGUAAAGCGCACGUAGGCGGCUUUGCAAGUUAGAGGUGAAAGCCCGGGGCUCAACUCCGGAAUUGCCUUUAAAACUGCAUCGCUAGAAUUGUGGAGAGGUAAGUGGAAUUCCGAGUGUAGAGGUGAAAUUCGUAGAUAUUCGGAAGAACACCAGUGGCGAAGGCGACUCACUGGACACGUAUUGACGCUGAGGUGCGAAAGCGUGGGGAGCAAACAGG
This 253-nucleotide ribosomal RNA is filed under the name uncultured bacterium. RNAcentral's name for it is "partial 16S ribosomal RNA". It matches the Rfam family "Bacterial small subunit ribosomal RNA", at positions 524 to 776 of the family's 1533-position model. The record is from RNAcentral.